RNAcentral lists this ribosomal RNA (462 nucleotides) under uncultured bacterium. RNAcentral's name for it is "partial 16S ribosomal RNA". It matches the Rfam family "Bacterial small subunit ribosomal RNA", at positions 28 to 507 of the family's 1533-position model. The record is from RNAcentral.
GACGAACGCUGGCUGCGUGCUUAACACAUGCAAGUCGAGCGGAAAGGCCCUUCGGGGUACUCGAGCGGCGAACGGGUGAGUAACACGUGAGUAACCUGCCCCAGACUUUGGGAUAACCCUCGGAAACGGGGGCUAAUACCGGAUACGACACAGCUUCGCAUGGGGUCUGUGUGGAAAGUUUUUCGGUUUGGGAUGGGCUCGCGGCCUAUCAGCUUGUUGGUGGGGUGAUGGCCUACCAAGGCGACGACGGGUAGCCGGCCUGAGAGGGCGACCGGCCACACUGGGACUGAGACACGGCCCAGACUCCUACGGGAGGCAGCAGUGGGGAAUAUUGCACAAUGGGCGGAAGCCUGAUGCAGCGACGCCGCGUGAGGGAUGACGGCCUUCGGGUUGUAAACCUCUUUCAGCAGGGACGAAGCGUAAGUGACGGUACCUGCAGAAGAAGCGCCGGCCAACUACGUG